Molecule: unclassified non-coding RNA, 214 nt
Filed under: Gaertneriomyces semiglobifer
Lineage: Eukaryota; Fungi; Chytridiomycota; Chytridiomycetes; Spizellomycetales; Spizellomycetaceae
Description: partial internal transcribed spacer 2
Source: RNAcentral
AAAUCUCAAAUAAACUUGUUUGUUUGGAUAUGAUUAGUCUGGAGUUUCGGCCUCAGUCUAGUUGAAAAUGAUUGUGCAAGCCGGCCCAAGAGUUCGGUAGCUUCAACUGCAGCAGAUUUAUCUAUUCUUUUGAAGUUUCUUUGUAACUAUUGGACUGUGUUGCUGCCUCAACUUAGUACACAGUGUGUUUGUUCGGAAGAACAAGCCUCUGAUA